RNAcentral lists this ribosomal RNA (201 nucleotides) under uncultured bacterium. RNAcentral describes it as "partial 16S ribosomal RNA". It matches the Rfam family "Bacterial small subunit ribosomal RNA", at positions 1300 to 1500 of the family's 1533-position model. The record is from RNAcentral.
GCAGGCUGCAACUCGCCUGUAUGAAGUCGGAAUUGCUAGUAAUCGCGGAUCAGCAUGCCGCGGUGAAUACGUUCCCGGGCCUUGUACACACCGCCCGUCACACCAUGAGAGCCGGGAACACCCGAAGUCCGUAGUCUAACCGCAAGGAGGACGCGGCCGAAGGUGGGUUUGGUAAUUGGGGUGAAGUCGUAACAAGGUAAC